GGCGAAUUAGCUCAGUCGGUUAGAGCAGAGGAAUCAUAAUCCUUGUGUCUGGGGUUCGAGUCCCUGAUUCGCCACCA
This 77-nucleotide transfer RNA is filed under the name Neisseria meningitidis. Its description in RNAcentral is "tRNA-Met". It matches the Rfam family "tRNA". Rfam says of the family: Transfer RNA (tRNA) molecules are approximately 80 nucleotides in length. Their secondary structure includes four short double-helical elements and three loops (D, anti-codon, and T loops). The record is from RNAcentral. Lineage: Bacteria; Pseudomonadati; Pseudomonadota; Betaproteobacteria; Neisseriales; Neisseriaceae.